UGUCUCCACACACGCGCCACCCUAAAAGUUACCUCAUCGUCUUACCUGAAAAGACAGCGGUGCAGGUUGGAAUGUGGGAAGCUUGCGUGGCCAGUUGGAGAGCUACGAGUAGCCGAGAAUAGAGAAUAGGUGAUUAUGUGUAAAUGUCCUCUUUGUCCGUCACGUUAGGUCUCUGCGCACAUACGUGUGUGUGUAAUCCUUUUAGCCGCAUGCCAAAUGUCAAUCAUAUAUCCGCGUGGUGUGUAAACACCAACAUCCCAUCGUGUUUGUUCUGGACUCGGCCCAGCGACCUGUGUGUGUGUGUGUGUCUGUGUGUGUGUGUGUGUGUGUUACCAGGGUGUGACUCUUCAUUCCGUGCUCGUCCAUCAGUGCGGAUCUUAAUUGGCCGUCUGACUGACACUAAAUCUCAGGGAAGGGAAACGAGCGCUCGCCUGUCGCGUUUCAUCGACUUCAUCUGUCUUUUUAUUUGAAAGGUUUUCAAAAUCCGAUGAUGAGAUAAGAUUGUAUCUGAUUUUCAGAUACGAUGAACUAAAAGAGACUGAUUAUAUAUAAGUCGGCAGCAGAGGCCGAUAAAAUAAGUAUUUAUUCUUCCAUUUAUCACAAUAAGGUUUUGCAUUUUACGAUGCUCUGCCUGAAUAAGGUGCAUUAUUGUGUCAUGACUUAUUUCCAUCCAUAUUUUGCUCAUCCAUGAAUGUGUGUUUAUUAUCCACUGGUAGAUACGUAUUUACAUCCUUUACUGCAGUACAAGUACUAAUGCCACGCUGCGAAAAUACUUCACUGUAACUAAAAGUGUAGCAUUCAAAUGACGUGAAAACCUGAAGUCUGAAGAGCAGCUACGUGAAACUCUUCAAGUACCUUGAACAUAAAAAGAGGACUUGAGGUCUUUCUUUGAGCAUCCAGAACGUCCCUUUCUGGAUACAAAUGCUCACAUGAGGAUGUGAUGAGCAGAACAUCCUCACAUCUGUGGACGUGUGUGCGUCGCGCCGUGUCUUUAUGUAACUUGUGUGUGUAUUUCAAGCGCCGGUGUGCGCUCGUGUCUCAGCCAACUCCGUGCCGUCGGCAUCACAGAUGGGCGAGCGACUUGAUACCCUUCUUAACUCAAGACGUGUCGGAGAGAGAGAACAAAAAGAACAACAGAGCAGGAGAGAAAGUGAGGGUGUGUGUGUGUGUGUGUGUGUGUGUGUGUGUGUGUGUGUGUGUGUGUGUGAAAGGGAAAGCAGACAUCAGUUAAGAUAGAAGCGAAACCGUUUUACUUCUCGAUGAAUAUUGCAGAAGCAGCACCCUCGGGUGUCACAAGGGACAGACUGGAAGUGUGUGUGCAGUGUGUGCGUCUGUGUGUGUGUGUGUGCAUGUGGCGGCGGGGGCGGGGAAAGUGAAGGCAAAGCAAUGCCCUCGGCCGUUGGAGGUGAGAAAAGAUAAUCCUGAAUUAAAUGAUCUAGCACUUUACAAAAUACACGACAAUUACACAGAUAAUUAUACUCAGACUUCACACAGAGCCCAUGGGUCACAAUUAACACACAGUCACGCACACAGUCACACACACACACACCUACCGCUGAGAUGAAGUGUGUGUAUGUGUGUGCUGAUUGGUCUCAUGUAUAAUUCACACUGUUAAUAUGCGCAUGGAAAUAUAUAAAGUUUACACAAAAGGGCCGACAGCAAAGACGUGUUGGGAGAGGAGGAGGCUCACC
This is a long non-coding RNA of Gasterosteus aculeatus aculeatus (three-spined stickleback), 1691 nucleotides long. The record is from Ensembl. Lineage: Eukaryota; Metazoa; Chordata; Actinopteri; Perciformes; Gasterosteidae.